RNAcentral lists this ribosomal RNA (746 nucleotides) under uncultured bacterium. RNAcentral's name for it is "bacterial SSU rRNA". It matches the Rfam family "Bacterial small subunit ribosomal RNA", at positions 9 to 750 of the family's 1533-position model. The record is from RNAcentral.
GAGUUUGAUCCUGGCUCANGAUGAACGCUAGCGGCAGGCUUAACACAUGCNAGUCGAGGGGUAACAGGGAAGCUUGCUUUCGCUGACGACCGGCGCACGGGUGCGUAACACGUAUACNACUUACCUUUAACUGGGGCAUAGCCCGAAGAAAUUCGGAUUAAUACCCCAUAACAAUGAAAAUUCGCAUGUUUUUUCAUUUAAAGCUCCGGCGGUUAAAGAUGGGUAUGCGGUCUAUUAGUUUGUUGGUGAGGUAAUGGCUCACCAAGACUACGAUAGAUAGGGGGUCUGAGAGGAUGAUCCCCCACACUGGUACUGAGACACGGACCAGACUCCUACGGGAGGCAGCAGUGAGGAAUAUUGGACAAUGGAGGCAACUCUGAUCCAGCCAUGCCCGCGUGAGGAUGAAUGCCCUCUGGGUUGUAAACUUCUUUUAUAUGGGAAUAAACCCUCGGACGUGUCCGAGGCUGAAUGUACCAUACGAAUAAGCACCGGCUAACUCCGUGCCAGCAGCCGCGGUAAUACGGAGGGCGCAAGCGUUAUCCGGAUUUAUUGGGUUUAAAGGGUCCGUAGGUGGGAUUGUAAGUCAGUGGUGAAAUCUUUCGGCUCAACCGAAAAACUGCCAUUGAUACUGCAAUUCUUGAGUAUACUCGAGGUAGGCGGAAUGUGUCAUGUAGCGGUGAAAUGCAUAGAUAUGACACAGAACACCGAUAGCGAAGGCAGCUUACCAGAUUAUAACUGACACUGAG